GGGACCCGCACAAGCGGUGGAUGAUGUGGUUUAAUUCGAUGCAACGCGAAAAACCUUACCCACCUUUGACAUGUACGGAAUCCUUUAGAGAUAGAGGAGUGCCCGAAAGAGAACCGUAACACAGGUGCUGCAUGGCUGUCGUCAGCUCGUGUCGUGAGAUGUUGGGUUAAGUCCCGCAACGAGCGCAACCCUUGUCAUUAGUUGCUACAUUCAGUUGGGCACUCUAAUGAGACUGCCGGUGACAAAUCGGAGGAAGGUGGGGAUGACGUCAAGUCCUCAUGGCCCUUAUAGGUGGGGCUACACACGUCAUACAAUGGAUGGUACAAAGGGUCGCCAACCCGCGAGGGGGAGCCAAUCCCAUAAAGCCAUUCGUAGUCCGGAUCGCAGUCUGCAACUCGACUGCGUGAAGUCGGAAUCGCUAGUAAUCGUGGAUCAGAAUGUCACGGUGAAUACGUUCCCGGGUCUU
RNAcentral lists this ribosomal RNA (466 nucleotides) under uncultured Acidovorax sp. Its description in RNAcentral is "bacterial SSU rRNA". It matches the Rfam family "Bacterial small subunit ribosomal RNA", at positions 916 to 1382 of the family's 1533-position model. The record is from RNAcentral. Lineage: Bacteria; Pseudomonadati; Pseudomonadota; Betaproteobacteria; Burkholderiales; Comamonadaceae.